Molecule: ribosomal RNA, 253 nt
Filed under: uncultured bacterium
Lineage: Bacteria
Description: partial 16S ribosomal RNA
Rfam family: Bacterial small subunit ribosomal RNA
Source: RNAcentral
GACGAGGGGUCCAAGCGUUGUUCGGAAUCAUUGGGCGUAAAGCGGGUGUAGGUGGCUUUGUAAGUCAGGAGUGAAAUCCCCGAGCUUAACUUGGGAAGUGCUUUUGAAACUGCAGAGCUUGAAUGUGGGAGAGGAUCGUGGAAUUCCAGGUGUAGUGGUGAAAUACGUAGAUAUCUGGAGGAACACCGGUGGCGAAGGCGGCGAUCUGGCCCAACAUUGACACUGAGACCCGAAAGCGUGGGGAUCAAACAGG